RNAcentral lists this ribosomal RNA (1008 nucleotides) under Salmonella enterica. RNAcentral describes it as "bacterial SSU rRNA". It matches the Rfam family "Bacterial small subunit ribosomal RNA", at positions 1 to 1004 of the family's 1533-position model. Lineage: Bacteria; Pseudomonadati; Pseudomonadota; Gammaproteobacteria; Enterobacterales; Enterobacteriaceae. The record is from RNAcentral.
AAGAGUUUGAUCAUGGCUCAGAUUGAACGCUGGCGGCAGGCCUAACACAUGCAAGUCGAACGGUAACAGGAAGCAGCUUGCUGCUUUGCUGACGAGUGGCGGACGGGUGAGUAAUGUCUGGGAAACUGCCUGAUGGAGGGGGAUAACUACUGGAAACGGUGGCUAAUACCGCAUAACGUCGCAAGACCAAAGAGGGGGACCUUCGGGCCUCUUGCCAUCAGAUGUGCCCAGAUGGGAUUAGCUUGUUGGUGAGGUAACGGCUCACCAAGGCGACGAUCCCUAGCUGGUCUGAGAGGAUGACCAGCCACACUGGAACUGAGACACGGUCCAGACUCCUACGGGAGGCAGCAGUGGGGAAUAUUGCACAAUGGGCGCAAGCCUGAUGCAGCCAUGCCGCGUGUAUGAAGAAGGCCUUCGGGUUGUAAAGUACUUUCAGCGGGGAGGAAGGUGUUGUGGUUAAUAACCGCAGCAAUUGACGUUACCCGCAGAAGAAGCACCGGCUAACUCCGUGCCAGCAGCCGCGGUAAUACGGAGGGUGCAAGCGUUAAUCGGAAUUACUGGGCGUAAAGCGCACGCAGGCGGUCUGUCAAGUCGGAUGUGAAAUCCCCGGGCUCAACCUGGGAACUGCAUUCGAAACUGGCAGGCUUGAGUCUUGUAGAGGGGGGUAGAAUUCCAGGUGUAGCGGUGAAAUGCGUAGAGAUCUGGAGGAAUACCGGUGGCGAAGGCGGCCCCCUGGACAAAGACUGACGCUCAGGUGCGAAAGCGUGGGGAGCAAACAGGAUUAGAUACCCUGGUAGUCCACGCCGUAAACGAUGUCUACUUGGAGGUUGUGCCCUUGAGGCGUGGCUUCCGGAGCUAACGCGUUAAGUAGACCGCCUGGGGAGUACGGCCGCAAGGUUAAAACUCAAAUGAAUUGACGGGGGCCCGCACAAGCGGUGGAGCAUGUGGUUUAAUUCGAUGCAACGCGAAGAACCUUACCUGGUCUUGACAUCCACGGAAGUUUUCAGA